RNAcentral lists this ribosomal RNA (974 nucleotides) under Ctenophora environmental sample. Its description in RNAcentral is "partial Bacterial large subunit ribosomal RNA". It matches the Rfam family "Bacterial large subunit ribosomal RNA", at positions 1006 to 1961 of the family's 2925-position model. The record is from RNAcentral. Lineage: Eukaryota; Metazoa; Ctenophora.
UGUGUUUGAGAGGGAAACAGCCCAGACCGCCAGCUAAGGUCCCUAAUUCGGACUAAGUGGAAUGAAGGAUGUGGAGUUGCGUAAACAGCCAGGAUGUUGGCUUAGAGGCAGCCAUCAUUUAAAGAGUGCGUAAUAGCUCACUGGUCGAGUGAUUCCGCGCCGAAGAUGAUCGGGACUAAGUCCGGAACCGAAGCUGCGGAUUUAUAAUUUAUUAUAAGUGGUAGAAGAGCGUUGUAUACUGGGUUGAAGUCGAAACGAAAGUGACGGUGGACUGUAUACAAGUGACCAUGCAGACAUGAGUAGCGAAAAACCAGGUGAGAAUCCUGGUCACCGAAAGCCUAAGGUUUCCUGGGGAAGGUUCGUCCGCCCAGGGUUAGUCGGCGCCUAAGGCGAGGCCGAAAGGCGUAGUCGAUGGAGAAAAGGUUAAUAUUCCUUUACCACCUUAUCUGAGUGAUGGAGGGACGCAGGAAGCUAGGUUAUCUGCCUGUUGAAAUAGGCGGUCUAAGGUUGUAGGGCGUGAGAUAGGCAAAUCCGUCUCACAUUAAGCCUGAGGACUGGGGACUCGGAGUCUUCGGAUGAAGAGGAUUAACCGAUGCUAUGCUGACGAGAAAAGCUUCUAAACGAUGAAGAUAGGGUGACCGUACUAAAACCGACACAGGUAGGCGAGGCGAGAAGCCUAAGGUGCGCGAGAGAAACCACGUUAAGGAACUCGGCAAAUUAGCCCCGUAACUUCGGAAGAAGGGGUGCCGCAUGAGGUGAUGAGACUUGCUCUCUAAGCUGAUCGCGGUUGCAACAAAGAGGCUCGGGCGACUGUUUAACAAAAACACAGCACUCUGCUAACACGCAAGUGGAUGUAUAGGGUGUGACACGUGACCAAUGCCGAAAGGUUAAACGGAGGGGUUAGCAGCAAUGCGAAGCUCUGAAGUGAAGCCCCGGUGAAUGUCGGCCGUAACUAUAACGGUCCUAAGGUAGCG